This 447-nucleotide ribosomal RNA is filed under the name uncultured alga. Its description in RNAcentral is "bacterial SSU rRNA". It matches the Rfam family "Bacterial small subunit ribosomal RNA", at positions 28 to 487 of the family's 1533-position model. The record is from RNAcentral.
GACGAACGCUGGCGGUAUGCCUAACACAUGCAAGUCGAACGAGAUUCUUUUUUUGUUUACAAAGAAAGAAUUGCAGUGGCGGACGGGUGAGGAACACGUAAGAACUUACCUUUUGGCGGGGGAUAACAACGGGAAACUGUUGCUAAUACCCUAUAACGCUGAGGAGCGAAAGGGAAACUGCCAAAAGAGAGGCUUGCGUCUGAUUAGCUAGCUUGGCGGAGGUAAAUGCUCCCCAAGGCGACGAUCAGUAGCUGGUCUGAGAGGAUGAUCAGCCACACUGGGACUGAGACACGGCCCAGAACUCCUAUCGGGAGGACAGACAGUGGGGAAUUUUCCACCAAUGGGCGAAAGCCCUGACUGGAAGCAAUAUCCGCGUGAAGGACUGAAGGAUCGUGGAYUCGUAAACUUCUHUACUUAACNUAGAAAUUUUGACGGUAGUUAAGAAGG